Molecule: unclassified non-coding RNA, 377 nt
Filed under: uncultured Parachlamydiaceae bacterium
Lineage: Bacteria; Pseudomonadati; Chlamydiota; Chlamydiia; Parachlamydiales; Parachlamydiaceae
Description: contains 16S-23S intergenic spacer region
Source: RNAcentral
UCCUGGUUAACCCAGGCAGUCUCAUUAGAGUUCCCACCUUAAAUGUUGGCAACUAAUGAUAAGGGUUGCGCUCGUUGCGGGACUUAACCCAACACCUCACGGCACGAGCUGACGACAGCCAUGCAGCACCUGUGCAGCAGCCCCGAAGGGAAGAUCCAUCUCUGGACCGGUCUACUGCAUGUCAAGCCUGGGUAAGGUUCUUCGCGUUGCAUCGAAUUAAACCACAUGCUCCACUGCUUGUGCGGGUCCCCGUCAAUUCUUUUGAGUUUCAGCCUUGCGACUGUACUCCUCAGGCGGUAUACUUAACACGUUAGCUACGACACAACUGGGGUUGAGUCCAGUUACAUCAAGUAUACAUCGUUUACAGCAAGGACUAC